GAGUUUGAUCCUGGCUCAGGACGAACGCUGGCGGCGCGCCUAAUACAUGCAAGUCGAACGGGCACACUUCGGUGUGUCAGUGGCGGACGGGUGAGUAACACGUGAGUGAUCUGCCCUCUAGUACGGAAUAACUCUGGGAAACCAGAGCUAAUACCGCAUGUGCUUGUAGCUUCAGUGCGGCAAGUAAAGAUUAAUCGCUAGAGGAGGAGCUUGCGGCGGAUUAGCUAGUCGGUGGGGUAACGGCCUACCGAGGCGACGAUCCGUAGCUGGUCUGAGAGGAUGACCAGCCACACUGGGACUGAGACACGGCCCAGACUCCUACGGGAGGCAGCAGUGGGGAAUCUUGGACAAUGGGGGCAACCCUGAUCCAGCAAUGCCGCGUGUGUGAAGAAGGCCUUCGGGUUGUAAAGCACUUUUAUCGGGAAAGAAACACGCAGGGCGAAUACCCUUGCGGACUGACGGUACCCGAUGAAUAAGCACCGGCUAACUCCGUGCCAGCAGCCGCGGUA
RNAcentral lists this ribosomal RNA (509 nucleotides) under uncultured bacterium. Its description in RNAcentral is "bacterial SSU rRNA". It matches the Rfam family "Bacterial small subunit ribosomal RNA", at positions 9 to 522 of the family's 1533-position model. The record is from RNAcentral.